CGGCGCCCGCCCCUGCUCCGCGCCCGGCUCGGCGCCGCUCCGCUCCGCCCCCGGCUCGGCGAGGAGCGCGGGCAGCCCCGCGGCCCCGCUGCAGUCCCGCUCCGGCAUGCCCCUCGCCGGAGCAGCGCCGGGACCCCGCCGCCUCCAGCCGCGCUCCGCCGGGCUCCGCCGCUCGCCGGCAUGAAGCGCCCGGCGCCGGGCGGCCGCCGCUGAGGAGCCGGCAGCAGCGGGACCCCCGGCCGCGCCCCCCGCCCCCGCCCCGCUCCAUGGGGCAGCGCCGCGGCCGCUGAGCCCCCGGCCCGCCCGCCGCGCCCCCCGCGCCGCGCCCCCGCCUCGCCCCUCGCCAUGGGGCCGCGGCACCUGCUGCUGCCGCUGCUCCUGCUCUCCCUGCAGCUCCUGGCCCUGCUGCCGCUGCUGCCCGCGCAGGCGGCCGGGCCCCCCCGCGCCAAGGGCAACCGGACCCAGGGGGCGGCGGCGCCGCGGCGGACCCCCAAGCCGGGCAGGGAGCUCCUGAACCAGACGCUGGCGGGCCCGGGGGCCGCCGCCCCCACGGCGCUGCCCGGGCGCGGCAAGGGCGCGGGGGGCGGCAAGGCGGCCCCCGGAGGCGGGGGCGGCGGCGGGGGCUCGGCCCCGGCCCACGAGACGUGCUGGGGGUACUACGACGUGAGCGGGCAGUGGGACAAGGAGUUCGAGUGCAACAACAGCCUGACGGGCUUCCGCUACUGCUGCGGCACCUGCUUCUACCGCUUCUGCUGCAACAAGCGCGCCGAGAAGCUCAACCAGAGCCUGUGCCGCAACUACAAGAGCCCCGAGUGGGCCCACCCCACCACGGCCAGCGGCGCCCUGCCCGCCGACGGCGGCGACGGCGGCGACGGGGACGCCAACAAGUACGACCCGGACAAGGACAGCACCAACGCCACCGUGUACAUCUCGUGCGGGGCCAUCGCCUUCGUGCUCAUCGCCGGCGUCUUCGCCAAGGUGGCCUACGACAAGGCGCGGCGCCCGCCCCGGGAGAUGAACAUUCACAGGGCUCUGGCCGACAUCCUAAGGCAGCAGGGACCAAUCCCAAUCGGACACUGUGAAAGAGAGACAAUCUCGGCCAUAGAUACCUCCCCCAAAGAAAACACCCCAGUCAGGACCUCCUCCAAAAACCACUACACCCCGGUGCGCACCGCCAAGAGCAACCCAGGUCACUAUGGGAAGGACAUUUAUCGCAGCGGCGGGCCGGAUCUCCACAACUUCAUCUCCUCCGGCUUUGUCACGUUAGGAAGAGGACACACGAAGGAUGACCAAGAACAAAAUUAUAAUCACCUGAUACUAAACAGUGACAACCAGACACCUACACAUGACAAGCCACGAAUGAACAACAUCCUGACUUCAGCCACCGAGCCCUACGACCUGUCCUUCUCCCGCUCCUUCCAGAACCUCUCCCACCUCCCGCCGUCCUACGAGUCUGCUGUCAAGACCAACCCGAGUAAAUACUCAUCUCUGAAGAGACUCACUGACAAAGAGGCUGACGAGUACUACAUGAGGAGGAGGCACCUGCCCGACCUGGCAGCCCGCGGCACGCUGCCCAUCAACGUCAUCAAGAUGUCCCAGCAGGGCAACCACCGGGACAGGCCCCGCCGUCCCAUCAGGGCCAUGUCCCAGGACAGAGUGCUGUCCCCUGAGAGGAUCAUGCCCGAGGAGUUCAGCAUGUCCUACGAGCGGAUUCUCUCGGACGAGCAGCUGCUGUCGGCGGAGCGCCUGCACUCCCAGGACCCGCUGCUGUCCCCGGAGCGCUCGGGCUACCCCGAGCAGUCCAUGUCGAGGGCAUUGUCACACACGGAUGUCUUUGUGUCAACACCGGUCUUGGAUCGCUACAGGAUGUCAAAAAUGCACUCCCAUCCCAGUGCCUCAAAUAACUUGUACAAUACCUUGAGUAUGAACCCGACCUCGGCCAAGCGCCAAGCGUUCGCCUCGCGCCGGCACAACACGGUGGAGCAGCUGCAUUACAUCCCCGGGCACCACCACCACUACCGCACCGCCAGCAAAACAGAGGUGACUGUUUGACACGACCCAGUGCAUUGUAGAUACUCCUUAAGGACUGGGGUGGCCGCAGCACCCCGUUCUGCAGUGGCCUUAUAGGCCAAGAUAACCUCGACUAACUCAGUGUCUGCAAAGACUUCUCUGACAGUCCCACCCACGUUGUUUUUAAAGCCACCCCUUCAUCAGUGACACAGGAAGGACUGAAGCAGCAGUCAGACACUAGUGAGGGAUAACAGAGAUUUCCUGAUGUGCAUCAGUUUCUGUCAAAGAAAGCCAUAGUAAUCGAUGGCUCCUUCCAAGGGCUCACCUGCAUUACCCCAUAGUUUCCAUGAAUUCAGGACUUUUCAGUUGCUCCAAGGAGAAGCAGCCUGAGGCAGGGAGGAGGAAAUGCAGCCCCCCCAUCCUGGCAGGAAGGGGCCUCGUUCUUGGUCCUCAUGUCUGGCCUUUCUGUAGCAAGUAGGGAAGUCCUGGCUGCUGGGGCCACCUCCAGGCUGCUCGACACCCGUCAGCACCCACACAUCUGUUCUUUGUCACCCUUGGAGCAAAUUCAAGGGCAGACAUUCCUUCGGGACUGGCAGAUCUAGGGACAAGAAUAGCCUGGCUGAGAAAUAAAGUUUUAGUUUAUACUAAAUAUACUCAUAAGAUAAAAACAUACUAGUGCCUACAAAUCGCCUGCUCUCUCAGUGUAGGAAGUAGUGGGGUUGAUGUGUUCAAUAAGCACAAAUAUGCUGAAAUGCUUGUUAGACCCUUUUCUCCACUCAUUCUAGUAUCUUGGUGUCUCCAACAUGUAAAUAGGAAGGAGGAAGAGGGUUUCUCUUCCUCCAGCUUCUCGCCACUGCUGAACCUCAAGCAGCAGAACCCGUUCAGCUCCACAGUGCUGACCUGUGCUGGGGGAGGUCCCGACCCCGCCGAGCCCCCCGCGAGGCCAGGCUGCCACGCCUGUCACCGAGCCUGGAUUCUCCCCAGAAGUUUCUUUUCCCGAUAGCAUUUCCCAUGGCCCAGUUCUCCUGUUUCUGAACGUUUUCUCCUCCCAUUUACAGCCUAGAAUCCAUAUGUAGCAGAUCUUUUUCCAGCCCUUAGCAGAGGCACAAGGCUGAGGGUGUCUGUUUACCGAAAAGCAGGUCGGUAACUUUCCGUGGUUUUCUCUCCCUGCAAUGGCCUCCCAAGAAAACCUUCCAAAUUCCAAUUCCACUGAGUCCCAAUCCUAACCAUGAUGACAGUUACAUUUCAUGCAUAUAAAUUAUAUAUCCAGCAUAAUUAUAAUUAAUGGGCAUGUUGUAUAUCUGAUAUAACGCUAAUUAGAUACUGUAUAUUUGUAAAAUCUUUAAAACAUAGACUCGUGGGUCCAGAAUUUGUGAGGGUUUUACCUUUGGCUUUCCAGACAGAUUGGGCUUUGCUUUUGUUUUUUUGUUAGGUUUGGGUUUGAUUUUUCUUUUCAUUUUUCCCCCCCCCUUUGAUUUGUGUUCCUACCAGACUCUGUAGAACUGAUUCCCACCGGAACACACUUCUGCGGCCAGGAAAGGGUCUCAGAGGGUUUGAAGGCCAGCCAGAGCUGGUGCUGGAGCUGUGGGUGCUGGACACUGUCCCCAGGGUGCCCUCGAGGCCCCAGCCUGUGCACACACCCCGUGGUGUGUGGCAGGCACGCUCCCUCCUCGGGGUGAGGUGAUGGCUGACUUCAGGCUGUGAGCACAUCCCUUGCACUCCUCUUCGUGUCCCACGUCCCCACGCCGACUCUUUUCCUACAUGGCUCUUCAUUAGGCAUCCCUGAACUGUGCUGUGCUCUCCUCCCUCCCCUGAAAUACCUCCCACCUCCUGGCCUUAAUGACAUUCCCAGCCCAACUGUGCCAAGUCCUGUAGCAAACAGCGAUGGUGGGGCGUGAGUCUCCUGUGGAGGCUUUGGUGCAGCACCAGGUUUGUCUGGUGCAGGGCAGGCAGGAGGAGCAUGUCCUCACCCCAGUGGGACACACAGGUGGGCCUCAGUGGGGUGUCCAGGUGGCCUUUCUCUUUCCCAGGCUGUCCUGGAGCUGGUCCUUUUUCCAGAGCUUUAUCCUGCCCCAUCUGAUGGAGACUGUGCUGAGAAGGACUCCACCAGUGAGAGGUUACUGAGGCUUUGUUUGACGGAAACUGAGCUGGGAGGGAAUAAAUAAAGAAAGAAAGAACAGUCUCCAGGGUCAGAUCCUGCAGCCUUGGGGAAAAUCACUCUGGGCAACAACCAGAACUGUCUGUGGAUCAGGGUGGCAGUCCAUGGCACGGGAGGGAUGGGAGACAACAGGCUCACAGCUCGUCUCCUGCCCCCUCCCUUGAUGGACACUACUCUCCCCUGACUACCUCCAAGCUCCUCGGCUCAGUCCCUGGAUUUUUCGUCCCAGAAGACAAUCCCUGAGAAAACAUUGCCCUGCUGACCUUCCCACAGGCCAGAGGGUGGGACUCGUGUGAAGAGAAGAGAAACUCUCACGGCUGAUGGGGAGGCGGCCCCUGCUGAGGUUCUGGGGCUCUUCACUCUCCCUUGGCCCAAGAAAAGCCAGGGAGAUCUGAACACUGUGGGAGAGCAGAGUCCACUGUAGAGUCUCCAGGAGCUGUGGUGGCAGAGUUGGAGAAGAGGUGACAGUGGGAGGCUGUGGGUAGGUGAACACUCCUCUCUUUCCAUGUCCAUAGCUGUGUGCCUCAAGCUCCAGUCCUCAUCUAAAUGUUCCAUUUGUGAGCUAAGAAGUUGCUGGACCAGAUGCAAAUUUGGAAGUUUUUCAUUCAAGCAGCCCGUGCCAAUGCUGAGCUGGGCCAUUUGACCUCUCUGUCUUCUCUUGUUCUGGCUAACAAAUGUCACAGGCCCUCAGCUUUUUUUGUGUCUUACCUGGGCAAGAAUCCUCCAGAGAAAUCUCAGCCUCAUUUCCUUGUUUUUUUUCCACCCACUCAACUGUUUCAAGCAGAUGUGUCCCACAAGGAGCCUUUUUAGGCCAAAUCUCUUCAGGGACUCUGCCACCACCACAGAAAAUUUUCAGCAAAUUUCCUUGGGAAGGAACCGUGCCCUGGAUACCACCAUGUGUUCCCACAGCCCGCUCUGUGUGCUGGAAUGGGUUGGUGGAUGGGGCAGUGGCAUUUCAGCACACACGGGUGUCCUUAGGUCAUUUCUCUCCCUUAUUCCUCCUUCUGAGAAUUUGUCACUGAAAGAACACUUGGUCUGGGACCGAGUGUCAUGACCACAGCCUGGUCCCCAGCACUUCAGUUCCCUGUGGUCCUCAUGGGAUGAUAAUGGAAAUUUCCAGUUCUAUGGAGGGAUCAGACCACAAGGUCUGUGAAGUGCUCUGAGACCCUCUCCCAACAGAACUGUAGGGCAGCAGAGUGUUUUGGUUAAUCUUGUCUGUCAUUGUCCUGACACGUGGUGUGUGAUGUGCCACAGUCCACUCUGCCCAGGAGGAGAGGGCUGGGGUGGCGUUGCCCACAUUCCCACUGCUCUCCUCCUGGGCAGGGUCCUGGAAGCUGCAGCUCCAAGGGAUGCUGCUCCCUGCACUGGGACCUCCCUGCUUCCUUCUCCUCGUGUCUGAGUCACCAUAACAUCCUGCUCUCAGGAGAAAAGCGGGAAGCAGCCACAUUCCUCUGUACAGUAAAAUACAACCUGCCUUGAUUAAUCUCAUAUACUCUGAAAAAUUGAUCUGUGUUUUCUCCCCCCACAGGUGCAAACAAACACCUGGGGAGUGUCCAGUUCCCAGAGUGCAUGUGCAGGGACUGGGGGAGGGGGAUGUAGAAAAGUUUAUAGUAUUUCCUACAAGCUGAUAAUUAUUUGCAUUCCCUGAGCAGCAACAUAUCCUGGAUAGCUGCACUGGGUUUUAUACAAUUCUCUGUGUAUGUGUAUAUAGAUACAAAUAUAUAUAUAUACAUAUAUACAUACAUACUGUAAAAUGCAAUCAACACAUUCUGACUGACCCUGCACCAACUGAAGCUUCCAAAGUGUGUUGAAUCAUUCUUUGAAAUGGGGAAAACUAUUUUUAAUGAACCACACACACAGCACCACAUGGAACAGAAACUUUGUCAUAAAAAGCCUUCUAAUGCCAGUGAACCGUGUUUUAAGGAAAAAAAAAAAAAGAAAUAUUUUUCAAUGUUUUAAUGUUCCUUUUAUAAACGAUGAUCUGUUACUUGGGGAUGGGGGUGGGUGGGAAGAAACAGAGACAGUUGUCCAGGAUAAGCCCUCUUUCCCUGGCCUGGAUUUAAUUUCUGUCUGCUGAGCCUGGCUGGCUGCAAAGCUGCUCCCAGGAACCUGAGCUUCCCGCAUGCACAUUUCUGUUCUGCCAGCAGCAUUCCCACCAGGAAUCUGCAGGAGCUUGGCAUCAGGUUUAUGUAGUUCCUGGUAGCUGGGAAGACAUCCUCAUCUUCUUCCACCACCACAAACAAAAUCCCCAUGGAACAGGGUAACUUUAGUUGUGUUUGAGACGUGUGUUCUAUUUGUGCUCAAUUUGCCAUCUUCAGCUCACAGAGAAAUAGCUUGUCUUGGUUUAGUUUCAGAUUUACUGCUCAACCUGGAAGGAGGGGCUCUGCUGAAAUACCUUUGGCACGAGCAGAUUUCAUGUUCAGGUGUGUUUCAGCCGAGUGAAAGAUGGGAAAUGUGUGAGAAAGAGGCUCAAAUAUUUUCUAGCGAGUGUCGUUAGCAAUAAGCCCGUGUUGGGGCUGCUCCCUGGGGAACAGCCACCUCUGUGCUGUGUGUCCACAGGCAGGUGGGAGAAGGGGUCAUUCCCAGCUCUCCGUGGUGAGAGGGGCCCUCCCCGAGGCCAAAUCCCAGCUGGGAAAAGCCAAAAGCUUCACCCAAGGGCCAGGGGAGAGUUGGAUGGGGCUGUCUGAGUGUGUCGGUGUUAAUCUGAAAGAGAUCUCUGCUCCCAGCACCCCGGGUCUGCACCGUGGCCACACCAUGUCCAGGAGGUCUCCAUCCCAGGAGGUCUCCAUCCUUGGAGAUCUCCAUCCUGGAAGGUCUCUCUCCAUCCUGGGAGGUGUCUCUCCAUCCCAGGAGUCUCCAUGCCAGGAGGUCUCUCCAUGCCAGGAGGUCUCCAUCCAAAGAGGUCUCCCUCCCUGGAGGUCUCUCCCCAUCCCUGAAGGUCUCCAUCCCAUCCCGGGACGUCUCCAUCCCACCCCAGGAGGUCUCUCCCCAUCCCAGAAGAUCUCUCCCCAUCCCAAGAGGUCUCUCCCUAUCCCGGGAGAUCUCUCCCCACCCCAGGAGGUCUCUCCCCAUCCCUGGAGGUUUCUCCUCAUCCCGAGAGGUCUCUCCCCAUCCCCGGAGGUCUCUCCCCAUCCCUGGAGAUCUCUCCCCAUCCAUGGAGGUCUCUCCCCAUCCAUGGAGGUCUCUCCCCAUUCCUGAAGGUCUCUCCCCACCUCUGGAGGUCUCUCCCC
Molecule: RNA transcript, 7398 nt
Organism: Motacilla alba alba
Lineage: Eukaryota; Metazoa; Chordata; Aves; Passeriformes; Motacillidae
Gene: SHISA6
Gene name: shisa family member 6
Exons: 8
Source: RefSeq, a predicted model, not a curated record